RNAcentral lists this long non-coding RNA (1159 nucleotides) under Chloebia gouldiae (Gouldian finch). RNAcentral describes it as "Erythrura gouldiae (Gouldian finch) lncRNA (ENSEGOG00005010048.1)". Lineage: Eukaryota; Metazoa; Chordata; Aves; Passeriformes; Passeridae. The record is from RNAcentral.
AAAAAAUCUGCCCUGGAUGCCCUCCCUGGGAAGGGAGAGGGAGUGAGGACCGGGUGUGAGGCAGGAGGGAAGGAGAGGAGAAAAUUCCCUCCGAGGGCUGCGACUGCCAACGAUCCCAGACUGUUCCCAGACCUUGUCCUGGAAGCUCCCGGUUCUCUCCCGACCCUGCUGGGAGCAGCGAGGACGAGGUUCCUUUUUCCUCCCAUCCCCUUUCCCUGCCUCCCAGGAAAAGGUGGCUUCCCAAGGGGAAAACCCCACCGGACUCAGAACAAAUCCAACUCAGCACUAUUUUUGUUUUCCAAGGAAUGUAGCAUCUUCUCUUAUGUAGCUUUGCCACGUGCUAACAACACACUCACUGCAAUAUCCAAGAGAACUCCGGAUGGACCGGGAACAUCUGCCAGUCUCAUCCCGUUUGGUCGCUUUCCCAGCACUUUUGGUGGCCAUUUCCCUGCCUUUUUUUGUCGUUUUCCCCCCAAUUUUGGUGGGUUUUUUUUUGGGUUUUCCCGGGAGCAUGUAGCCUGUGACCAUUGCCAAAGCAAGAGGGGACAGGGGAAGGGGCGCUCGCCUCCCCUGGGCGUCCGCCGGGCUUCUCCUCGUGUCCCACCGCUGACCGCGCGCGCGUCCGGCCGAAACCAGACCCGAAGGACAGACAAACUCCGGGAAUGCCUCGUGGGAGGUGGGAGAAGGCGACCCAACGGAGCGGGAAUACCGGGAUCCUGGCGGAUCGGCUGCCUCCCAGCCCCUUCCUUCCCAGCUGGAGGGCCAGGAUGCUCUCCUUGAGGUCUGGAAUGCUCUCCUCCUUGGAGCUGAGAUGUCCUUCUUGAGGUCUGGAAUGCUCUUCUUGGAGCUGGGAUGUCCUCCUUGGAAUUGAGAUGUUUUCCUUGAGGUCUGGAAUGCUCUCCUUGGAGCUGAGAUGUUCUCCUUGAGGUCUGGAAUGCUCUCCUGGGAGCUGGGACAUCCUCCUUGAGGUCUGGAAUGCUCUCCUGGGAGCUGAGAUGUCCUUGAGGUCUAGAAUGCUCUCCUUGGAGCUGAGAUGUCCUCCUUGAGGUCUGAAACGCUCUCCUCCUUGGAGCUGGGAUGUCCUCCUUGGAAUUGAGAUGUUCUCCUAGAGGUCUGGAACGCUCUCCUCGGAUCUCAGAUGUCCUCCUUGAGGUCUGGC